RNAcentral lists this transfer RNA (75 nucleotides) under Clostridia bacterium. RNAcentral describes it as "tRNA-Glu". It matches the Rfam family "tRNA". From Rfam's summary of the family: Transfer RNA (tRNA) molecules are approximately 80 nucleotides in length. Their secondary structure includes four short double-helical elements and three loops (D, anti-codon, and T loops). Further hydrogen bonds mediate the characteristic L-shaped molecular structure. tRNAs have two regions of fundamental functional importance: the anti-codon, which is responsible for specific mRNA codon recognition, and the 3' end, to which the tRNAs corresponding amino acid is attached (by aminoacyl-tRNA synthetases). tRNAs cope with the degeneracy of the genetic code in two manners: having more than one tRNA (with a specific anti-codon) for a particular amino acid; and 'wobble' base-pairing, i.e. permitting non-standard base-pairing at the 3rd anti-codon position. RNAcentral also lists the same sequence under 2 other names. Lineage: Bacteria; Bacillati; Bacillota; Clostridia. The record is from RNAcentral.
GGCCCGGUGGUCAAGUGGUUAAGACACAGGCCUUUCACGCCUGCGACACGGGUUCGACUCCCGUCCGGGUCACCA